Molecule: unclassified non-coding RNA, 324 nt
Filed under: soil metagenome
Description: partial contains 5.8S ribosomal RNA, internal transcribed spacer 2, and large subunit ribosomal RNA
Rfam family: 5.8S ribosomal RNA (bases 1-120)
Source: RNAcentral
GAUGAAGAACGUAGCGAAAUGCGAUAAGUAAUGCGAAUUGCAGAAUUCAGUGAGUCAUCGAAUCUUUGAACGCACAUUGCGCCCUGUGGUAUUCCGCAGGGCAUGCCUGUUCGAGCGUCAUUCCAACCCUCAAGCCCCGCUUGGUGUUGGGCCCCGCCCGCUGUGGCCGGCCCUAAAGACAGUGGCGGCGCCGCCUGGCCCUCAGCGUAGUACAUCUCUCGCUCCAGGGUCCGGUGGCCGCCUGCCAGAACCCCCCAACUCUGUGGUUGACCUCGGAUCAGGUAGGGAUACCCGCUGAACUUAAGCAUAUCAAUAAGCGGAGGA